This 505-nucleotide ribosomal RNA is filed under the name uncultured bacterium. RNAcentral's name for it is "partial 16S ribosomal RNA". It matches the Rfam family "Bacterial small subunit ribosomal RNA", at positions 28 to 506 of the family's 1533-position model. The record is from RNAcentral.
GACGAACGCUGGCGGCGUGCUUAACACAUGCAAGUCGAGCGGUGAAGGGACUGGUUUUGCUGGUCCUGGAUGAGUGGCGAACGGGUGAGUAACACGUGAGUAACCUGCCCCCUUCUUCUGGAUAACCGCAUGAAAGUGUGGCUAAUACGGGAUAUUCUGGGUCUGUCGCAUGGUGGGCCUGGGAAAGAUUGCGCCUUUUUUGGUGUUUUUGGUGGGGGAUGGGCUCGCGGCCUAUCAGCUUGUUGGUGGGGUGAUGGCCUACCAAGGCGGUGACGGGUAGCCGGCCUGAGAGGGUGGACGGUCACACUGGGACUGAGACACGGCCCAGACUCCUACGGGAGGCAGCAGUGGGGAAUAUUGCACAAUGGGCGCAAGCCUGAUGCAGCGACGCCGCGUGAGGGAUGGAGGCCUUCGGGUUGUGAACCUCUUUCGCCAGUGAAGCAGGCCUGCCUCUUUUUGUGGGUGGGUUGACGGUAGCUGGAUAAGAAGCGCCGGCUAACUACGU